Molecule: long non-coding RNA, 502 nt
Organism: Syngnathus typhle (broad-nosed pipefish)
Lineage: Eukaryota; Metazoa; Chordata; Actinopteri; Syngnathiformes; Syngnathidae
Exons: 2
Source: RefSeq, a predicted model, not a curated record
GAGUCGGACCUGCCCGGACCCGUAGGCGAUGUAGCCUGGAGGAGGAAAGCAAAAUUUGAAUCUUCUUCUCUUAAUCACAUUAUUUGUUCACUGUUCCAGAAAAUACAUGCAUAGAGAAACCAAAUACCACAUUAAUGCGACAAACCCGACAUAUGUUUUUCUCUCACGAUCAAAACCCCGGCAACGUUUAAAAGGUCACUUCGCAAAAGCUAGAAAGCAUCGUCUCCAUGGCUACAGCUCAUCUCAUGAUCAAGGCUCUUCUGGAUAUUUGUGAAAAUUGCCUUGGGGGGUUAGAGGCUGAUUCCAGCAUCAGAUCACCUUGAAUCCAGAGACCUUCACAAAUACGUCAUCAUCAUCCUCCCCGGCCUUCCUGUAACCUCUGAACGCACGCCGCAUAGUGAUGCGAGGUGGCUGCCAAACGGGACGGUAAACGCGAUGACCCUCGCCUUCACCUUUUCUCAAUCGCACCCGAGCGUCUGGCGCUGCUGUGCGAGACAGAAAA